RNAcentral lists this long non-coding RNA (1648 nucleotides) under Citrus sinensis (sweet orange). Its description in RNAcentral is "long non-coding RNA (CSIN_LNC000193)". The record is from RNAcentral. Lineage: Eukaryota; Viridiplantae; Streptophyta; Magnoliopsida; Sapindales; Rutaceae.
CUCGUAUCUUAUUCAGUGAAUACCUUUUUACAACAGCUUAACUGUCUAUUAUAUGCUUUUUCAGUGAAUACCUUUGUAAUACUCCUACAAAGAACCCAAAAACAACUCCAGCGAAUGUCGUAACUAUUAGCAAGUUUUUGUAAAUACGCUCUAGAAAAUAUCAACCACAGUAACAAUGUUUUUCCUCUUUCUUCCAAAGCACUGAUUAUUCUUUUGGCUAAAACAAACACUAUCAACAACUUUGCUUAAAAAAGCUACUCAAUUUUUAAUUUCUAGUACAAUUAUAAUUCUUGAGAUAAAUUUCAAAUACUUGGAUAAUAUCAAUUAUUUUUGGGUAUCAUUGAAUAGAAAAGAGUGUUAAACAUAUGUGCAAAAGGAAGAGACAGGUGUUUAAAGACGUGAAAUAAAGAGGACAAAAAGUUGGGAAUUAGGAUUGCAUGCACAUUGAAGAAACUAACAGAAUCAUAGAGGCACUAAAAACAGAAAGCCAAAGAGUAAAAAAUAAAAAUUUAUUCCAUAUAAAAAUCCAAAGCCAAAUCAAGUUAAUAAGUUCCUGCAAUAACUACAUAUAUCGAAUAUAGAAUACAAGAAUAAUAAGACACAAAACAAAUCAACGAGCUUACUUAUAAUAUGAGCUCCAGGUAUAAACAGAGACAUUACAUUACCUUACAAAUGUUGGUUGCCGUACUCUAAUUCCUUGCAGUUUUGGGGCCAAAUAACAACGUUAAUCUCUGGACAUGUUGCAUAGAUAACAUGACAAUUACAAUCCACUUAUGAAAGUGUUAAUUAAAAACCUUUUCAUGUAGUCACUUUAUCAAAGAUGUAGGUUCAACCUACAAAACUUAAAAAUUAAAAUGAAAGAUUCAACAGAAUAUGCCACAAAAUAAAAACUAAGGCAAUUCUUUUUCUUUAAUGCAUUCCAUCAAACACCUAGUGGGCUUCGUUAGAAACUAUUUCGUCUAAUUUUUUUUCAGUCCAGAAAAUACCAAAUUAGCCCCAAAAAAGAAAAGACUGCUGAAUAAUAUCAUCAAAAUGCAAAGUUCAUACGUUCAAGAUGCAUUCGGCAUAGACAUAAGCACUUGAAUGUACAUGAACAUUUAAUAGCUUGAGCUUUAGCAUGUCAGUAGAGAUAAUUUGAGAAACAACCAUGAAUCCAGCCCAAAAAUCAGAAAAAAAAGGAAAAAAUUGACAAAAUUUAGAAGACCUAACAACUUAAUCAAUUUAAAAUCUAUUUGCAAUCUCACGUAUUUCUCUGAGAAUCUAAAUUCAAAUCCACCAAAAUGGAAAUCGGUAGCAUAAUCUCAAAACAAAAAUCAACAUAUAUGAAAAUGAAUUUACUCGAUCUUCUAUUUUGAAAAGCAAUGCAAGUCCUAUGAACGGAAAAUUUACCUCAGAGCAGCGGCGGCUUGGCCUGGCUUUGAACACUAUUUGAACACUAUUUGAACGGAAAAUUUGCGCGUGCAUCGUCGUCGUAGUCGUCGUCAGUGUUCUAACGACAGCAAGAACACUAUUUGAACAACGGCAAAGAUGCGGGAUUGAUUUCUAGGGUUUGGCAAGCGUGUUGUUUCACAGUGUUAGUUGAUGAGUGGCAUGCGUUAUGUGGUGAGCAAUAAGUGAUUAAGUGAGUUCGGUGACAUGAGAAAUUUUU